AGAGUUUGAUCCUGGCUCAGAACGAACGCUGGCGGCAGGCCUAACACAUGCAAGUCGAGCGCCCCGCAAGGGGAGCGGCGGACGGGUGAGUAACGCGUGGGAACGUACCCCUUUCUACGGAAUAGCCUCGGGAAACUGGGAGUAAUACCGUAUAAGCCCUACGGGGGAAAGAUUUAUCGGGAAGGGAUCGGCCCGCGUUGGAUUAGGUAGUUGGUGGGGUAAUGGCCUACCAAGCCGACGAUCCAUAGCUGGUUUGAGAGGAUGAUCAGCCACACUGGGACUGAGACACGGCCCAGACUCCUACGGGAGGCAGCAGUGGGGAAUCUUAGACAAUGGGCGCAAGCCUGAUCUAGCCAUGCCGCGUGAUCGAUGAAGGCCUUAGGGUUGUAAAGAUCUUUCAGUGGGGAAGAUAAUGACUUACCCACAGAGAGACUGAUCCCGAC
This 443-nucleotide ribosomal RNA is filed under the name uncultured Rhodobacter sp. RNAcentral describes it as "bacterial SSU rRNA". It matches the Rfam family "Bacterial small subunit ribosomal RNA", at positions 8 to 483 of the family's 1533-position model. The record is from RNAcentral. Lineage: Bacteria; Pseudomonadati; Pseudomonadota; Alphaproteobacteria; Rhodobacterales.